AGGCCCGACUCUUUACCAAAAACAUAGCCUUCAGCCAACAACAAGUAUUGAAGGUGAUGCCUGCCCAGUGACCCCACGUUCAACGGCCGCGGUAUCCUAUCCGUGUGAAGGUAGUGCAAUCAAUUGUCCCAUAAAUUGGGACUUGUAUGAAUGGCUAAACGAGGUCU
This 167-nucleotide non-coding RNA is filed under the name Struthio camelus australis. RNAcentral's name for it is "Archaeal large subunit ribosomal RNA". It matches the Rfam family "Archaeal large subunit ribosomal RNA", at positions 1884 to 2089 of the family's 2987-position model. The record is from Rfam by way of RNAcentral. Lineage: Eukaryota; Metazoa; Chordata; Aves; Struthioniformes; Struthionidae.